GGAAUAAUUUUGGGUUUGUACACCUCCUUGACUGUUAAUUUAUAAACAUGCUAACCAUAUUAUUCUUCCCAUCAAAAACUCAUGCCAGUUUUGAGUAGUCUUGGAGAAAAAAAAUGCAUAUUGCAAACGUAGAAUCAAAUUUUCAAGCCUCCAUUACGUGGAGUGGAGGUUAAGGAAAACUUAGCAAAGGUCUUAUUGCUGGUUAUGCCUCAAAAAAUCUGAAAUAGGUACAAGUGGCAGAAAUAAAGUUCUGUACCACGUAAGCAAUGUAAUUUCAUUUGUUCCCACUUCUCCAGAUGUAAUAAGAAAACUGAACCAAAUGUGGGUGGCAGCUAGUAGGGCUUAUUAGGCAGGGGCCAGAAAACCGAGCAUACAACGUGCAGCCUGAGUGUUGAGGGCCAGAUGACUGCUGAAUUGUGAGGGUGUCGGGAAUUUGAAAUCCAGGGCAGUGGGCCAUAGACAUGGAGUUUUCAGGUCUUGGAAGCCAAGAAAAAGCCAAGGGGGUAGAACCCAAGGAAUCAGUUAGGGAAGGUUGGAACAGGCAGAUUUCCUUGAGAUGAAGUAGUAGAAAAGGUGAAAGAAUUCCAUGCCACAUAUAUUUUUCACUGAAGUAGCAAAACUGGACUGAUCUUAGUGCAAUGAAUUUUUUUUUUUCUAAUUGUUUCCAUAGAUAUCUCUGGAUGUGGAUCAUAGGAGUGAAAAGGAGGCAGUGUCAGCCAGAGAGAAAGUCAAUUGCUCUUUGGUACAUGUCAGGACUAGAAACUAGAUAUGGUGGGAGAGGGCCAGACUGGAGAAUCAAUAGUCUUUUGGAGAAGGGCCCAGCAGCCUGGAAGUCCAAAAAGAUGGCAAAACCUGCUGUUCAGAGCUUUGGCAACGGGUAGAAGCUGGAAAUCCAGGCAGGCAGGUGGUUGGCAUGGAGGCUAUCCAGAGGUGACCGAUAGGUGUCUCCCUGGCAGGUGGGCAGAGCACAGGACAAAGACAUGUUGGCAGCAGCAAAUAGGGUCCCAGCCAUGAGGAAUGGGGCUCAGGUGGAAACUUUUGUCUUUAAAACAAUUGGGGCUGGCAGACAGGAAAUUCGGCAAGAAGUGAGAGAGGAAAGACAAGGACCUGAUUCCUAGAGCCAGGGUGCAAAGCUUGCCCUACACCCCGGGGAACAAGAUCAGAAAGGGACCAGAAGGAAGGCAAACAGGAGGUAAAACCUUGGUACUGAAGAUGUUUCUGUUUCCCAUAUCCAAAGACCAAAGGAGAUCACAGAACCUACAGCAAGAUGGCUACUUCGAAUGUGAGAGCCUGUGGAGGUGUGGCAAGGAAACAUAUAGUUAAGAAGCCCCAGACAUCGAGUUCCAUCUGGUGUCUGAUAGUCCUCACAGAUCUAAACUGGAGCUGGGAUGGGACCUAGAGCCAUGAGGAAGUUCCUGACAGCAACUUCUCUAAAGUGAUAGCAUCUUGAUGCUUUGGGGAUCCCAGGUUUGUCACAGUAGGGGCUGAGAAAUGCCUAGGGAGUUGGAGGAGCAUGUGCUUUGGGUUGAUAUUCCCAAUCUGUUUCCAGUUGGUACCCAUACAAUCUAUGCUGCUAGACUUUUUUGAAUCAAAGUAUAGCUGAUUUACAAUGUUGUAUUAAUUUCUGCUGUACAGUGAAGUGAUUAAGUUUAUAUAUAUAUAUGUGUGUUAUAUAUAUGUUAUAUAUGUUAUGUUAUAUAUAUAUGUAUAUAUAUAUACUCUGAAAAAAUAUUCUUUUCCAUUAUGAUUUAUAAUAGGGCAUUGAAUAUAGUUCUCUGUGCUAUACAGUAGGUGGGAUCCUGUUGACUAUCCCCCCUUUUUUAAAAGCUUUAUUGAAGUAUAGUUGAUUUAUAAGGUUGUGAUAAUUUCUGCUGUACAACAAAGUGAUUCAGUUAUAGAGGUAAUAGCUUACACUUGAUAACCCCAACCUUCUACUCCAUCCCUCCCCAAUCUUCUCGCCUUUGACAACCAUAAGUCUGUUCUCUAUGCCUGUGAGUGUGUUUCUGUGUCAUAGAUAGGUUCAUUUGUGUUGUAUUUUCUGAUAAGUUUGUGUUUAAUAUGCUUUUAUCUUUCUUUUUUCUAUUUAUCUGUUUCGUUAGUCGCUUGCUUGGAGGAGUUUUUCUCUUGUUCUUUUGUUUGAAUCAAAUGCUUUUGUCUUUUUAUUUGGUUUAACUUUCUCUGUCUCUCUGAAAAUAGAUGAAACGGUUACUUGCAUUGCUUUCUCCCAUGGAACAGUGCAGGGGGAGAGUGGUUGAGGGUGCUCCCUGGGCUGAUUCUAAAAGUCCAGGUCCCUCCCAACCUGCUGCUCUGCCAUUCUGGGAGGCAGGCCUUCCUAACCUUUGUUUGUGUCAUUGAACUUUCUGGCAGACUGCUGAAGCCUAUCUUAAAAUACUUGUAGAUGCAUAUAUUAUGAAGUCUUAUAAAUAACAGUUAUAUUGAAUUUUGGUUAUCAGCAUGUUGAUAAAAUAGAUUUGUGACAAAGUAAUACAUAUGCUUUUUAUGAUGACAUUAAAUAAUAUAUUUUGAUGGUGGGCCUUAAUUCUGAAGUAAUGAUGAGUGUAAACACCAAAUGAAUGAGGUAAGUUUAUCAUUGCUCCAAUUUUAUAGGUAAUGAAACAGAAGUAUGAGGGACGAAAUAAUUCGCACAGGGUUUACAUGCCUAGUAUUUAGUGGAGCCAGGGUUCUGUCCUGGACUGUCUGGCUACAAAUAAAUAAUGAAGAGAAAGAGGAAAAUAAAAUUAAUCAAUAACAAAAUUAAUGAUUUAGAAAAACAGAUACAUGAAAAUCAAAAUGGGUUAUUUGAAAAGACCAAUAAGGAGUUCCCAUAGUGGCUCAGCAGUAAUGAACCUGACCAGUAUCCAUGAGGACAAAGGUUCAAUCCCUGGCCUCACUCAGUGGGUUAAGAAUCUGGUGUUGCCAUGAGCUGUGGUAUAGGUUGCAGAUGUGGCUGAGAUCCCAACAUUGCUAUAGUUGUGGUGUAGGCUGGCAGCUGCAUCUCUGAUUUGAUCCCUAGCCUGAGAACUUCUAUAUGUCACAGGAGCAGCCCUAAAAAGCCAAAAAAAAAAAAAAAAAAAAAAAAAA
Molecule: long non-coding RNA, 3081 nt
Filed under: Sus scrofa (pig)
Lineage: Eukaryota; Metazoa; Chordata; Mammalia; Artiodactyla; Suidae
Description: lncRNA (ENSSSCG00000060499.1)
Source: RNAcentral